CGCUUUUGACAAGCUCUUUGGUUAUUUAUUUAUUUAUUUAUUUAUUUAUUUAUUUAUUUAUUUAGCUUUGCCAACUAGGGCAGGGUCACCACAACAGCAUAUGCCAAUUACUGUGGGCCCUUUUUACCUAACCCACCCUGUCAACUUUCCCUGUGGGAGGAAACCGGAGUACCCGGGGAAAACCCACAGCUUUCGGCAGAGCGUUGACUUUUACUCUUUUCACAUGGGGACUGGGUUCGAGUCGCACUGAGAAGGUACUUAGUGAGACUCGAACCUGCAGCCUCAGAGGUGAAAGGCAAGUGCGCUAACCACUUGGCCACCGAAGCCCCUA
Paramuricea clavata is the source of this 331-nucleotide non-coding RNA. The record is from the annotation of a GenBank genome assembly. Lineage: Eukaryota; Metazoa; Cnidaria; Anthozoa; Malacalcyonacea; Plexauridae.